Rattus norvegicus (Norway rat) is the source of this 69-nucleotide non-coding RNA. Lineage: Eukaryota; Metazoa; Chordata; Mammalia; Rodentia; Muridae. The record is from Rfam.
GGGGAUUUAGCUCAGUGGUAGAGCGCUUGCCUAGCAAGCGCAAGGCCCUGGGUUCGGUCCCCAGUUCCG